GGGGGGGGGGGGGGGGGGGGGGGGCGCGGGCAAGUGGGGCGGGGAGGCCCGGCGGGUGUGGGGUGCGCGGGUGGCGGACGGGUGAGUAACACGUGAGUAACCUGCCCUUGACUGUGGGAUAACUUCAGGAAACUGGGGCUAAUACCGGAUAGGAGCUCCUGCUGCAUGGUGGGGGUUGGACCGUUUCGGCGGUUGGGGAUGGACUCGCGGCUUAUCAGCUUGUUGGUGGGGUCGUGGCUUACCAAGGCUUUGACGGGUAGCCGGCCUGAGAGGGUGACCGGCCACAUUGGGACUGAGAUACGGCCCAGACUCCUACGGGAGGCAGCAGUGGGGAAUAUUGCACAAUGGGCGGAAGCCUGAUGCAGCAACGCCGCGUGCGGGAUGACGGCCUUCGGGUUGUAAACCGCUUUCGCCUGUGACGAAGCGUGAGUGACGGUAAUGGGUAAAGAAGCACCGGCUAACUACGUG
Molecule: ribosomal RNA, 468 nt
Filed under: uncultured bacterium
Lineage: Bacteria
Description: partial 16S ribosomal RNA
Rfam family: Bacterial small subunit ribosomal RNA (bases 49-468)
Source: RNAcentral